This 892-nucleotide ribosomal RNA is filed under the name Bacillus sp. LMR258. Its description in RNAcentral is "bacterial SSU rRNA". It matches the Rfam family "Bacterial small subunit ribosomal RNA", at positions 73 to 949 of the family's 1533-position model. Lineage: Bacteria; Bacillati; Bacillota; Bacilli; Caryophanales; Bacillaceae. The record is from RNAcentral.
AAGGAGCUUGCUCCCGGAUGUUAGCGGCGGACGGGUGAGUAACACGUGGGUAACCUGCCUGUAAGACUGGGAUAACUCCGGGAAACCGGAGCUAAUACCGGAUAGUUCCUUGAACCGCAUGGUUCAAGGAUGAAAGACGGUUUCGGCUGUCACUUACAGAUGGACCCGCGGCGCAUUAGCUAGUUGGUGAGGUAACGGCUCACCAAGGCGACGAUGCGUAGCCGACCUGAGAGGGUGAUCGGCCACACUGGGACUGAGACACGGCCCAGACUCCUACGGGAGGCAGCAGUAGGGAAUCUUCCGCAAUGGACGAAAGUCUGACGGAGCAACGCCGCGUGAGUGAUGAAGGUUUUCGGAUCGUAAAGCUCUGUUGUUAGGGAAGAACAAGUGCAAGAGUAACUGCUUGCACCUUGACGGUACCUAACCAGAAAGCCACGGCUAACUACGUGCCAGCAGCCGCGGUAAUACGUAGGUGGCAAGCGUUGUCCGGAAUUAUUGGGCGUAAAGGGCUCGCAGGCGGUUUCUUAAGUCUGAUGUGAAAGCCCCCGGCUCAACCGGGGAGGGUCAUUGGAAACUGGGAAACUUGAGUGCAGAAGAGGAGAGUGGAAUUCCACGUGUAGCGGUGAAAUGCGUAGAGAUGUGGAGGAACACCAGUGGCGAAGGCGACUCUCUGGUCUGUAACUGACGCUGAGGAGCGAAAGCGUGGGGAGCGAACAGGAUUAGAUACCCUGGUAGUCCACGCCGUAAACGAUGAGUGCUAAGUGUUAGGGGGUUUCCGCCCCUUAGUGCUGCAGCUAACGCAUUAAGCACUCCGCCUGGGGAGUACGGUCGCAAGACUGAAACUCAAAGGAAUUGACGGGGGCCCGCACAAGCGGUGGAGCAUGUGGUUUAA